UACGUAGGGCGCAAGCGUUGUCCGGAUUUAUUGGGCGUAAAGAGCGUGUAGGCGGCCAGGUAGGUCUGGUGUGAAAACUCGAGGCUCAACCUCGAGAGGUCAUCGGAAACCAUCUGGCUAGAGUCCGGAAGAGGAGAGUGGAAUUCCCGGUGUAGCGGUGAAAUGCGCAGAUAUCGGGAAGAACACCUAUGGCGAAGGCAGCUCUCUGGGCCGGUACUGACGCUGAGACGCGAAAGCGUGGGGAGCGAACAGG
RNAcentral lists this ribosomal RNA (253 nucleotides) under uncultured bacterium. Its description in RNAcentral is "partial 16S ribosomal RNA". It matches the Rfam family "Bacterial small subunit ribosomal RNA", at positions 524 to 776 of the family's 1533-position model. The record is from RNAcentral.